RNAcentral lists this small nuclear RNA (21 nucleotides) under Arabidopsis thaliana (thale cress). RNAcentral describes it as "snRNA_09223". Lineage: Eukaryota; Viridiplantae; Streptophyta; Magnoliopsida; Brassicales; Brassicaceae. The record is from RNAcentral.
ACCGUGCGCUGGAUUAUGACU